CAGCCGCCACGGUAAUACGGAGGGUGCAAGCGUUAAUCGGAAUUACUGGGCGUAAAGCGUGCGUAGGUGGUGGUUUAAGUCCGUUGUGAAAGCCCUGGGCUCAACCUGGGAAUUGCAGUGGAUACUGGGUCACUAGAGUGUGGUAGAGGAUAGUGGAAUUUCCGGUGUAGCAGUGAAAUGCGUAGAGAUCGGAAGGAACAUCUGUGGCGAAGGCGACUAUCUGGGCCAACACUGACACUGAGGCACGAAAGCGUGGGGAGCAAACAGGAUUAGAUACCCCUGUAGUCCCUGUCUCUUAUAC
RNAcentral lists this ribosomal RNA (301 nucleotides) under uncultured bacterium. RNAcentral describes it as "partial 16S ribosomal RNA". It matches the Rfam family "Bacterial small subunit ribosomal RNA", at positions 509 to 807 of the family's 1533-position model. The record is from RNAcentral.